CCUACGGGAGGGCAGCAGUGAGGAAUAUUGGUCAAUGGACGCAAGUCUGAACCAGCCAUGCCGCGUGCAGGAAGACGGCUCUAUGAGUUGUAAACUGCUUUUGUACGAGGGUAAACGCAGAUACGCGUAUCUGUCUGAAAGUAUCGUACGAAUAAGGAGCGGCUAACUCCGUGCCAGCAGCCGGGGUAAUACGGAGGAUUCAAGCGUUAUCCGGUUUUAGUGGGUUUAAAGGGUGCGUAGGCGGUCGGAUAAGUUAGAGGUGAAAUCCCGCGGCUCACCUUCGGAAUUGCCUCUGAUACUGUUCUGCUAGAGAGUAGUUGCGGUAGGCGGAAUGUAUGGUGUAGCGGUGAAAUGCUUAGAGAUCAUACAGAACACCGAUUGCGAAGGCAGCUUACCAAGCUACUUCUGACGUUGAGGCACGAAAGCGUGGGGAGCAAACAGGAUUAGAUACCCCUGGUAGUC
Molecule: ribosomal RNA, 462 nt
Filed under: uncultured bacterium
Lineage: Bacteria
Description: partial 16S ribosomal RNA
Rfam family: Bacterial small subunit ribosomal RNA
Source: RNAcentral